AGGGCGGCGAAGCCGCGAGGUGGAGCGAAUCCCAAAAAAGCCGGUCUAAGUUCGGAUUGCAGGCUGCAACCCGCCUGCAUGAAGUCGGAAUCGCUAGUAAUCGCGAGUCAGCAUAUCGCGGUGAAUACGUUCCCGGGUCUUGUACACACCGCCCGUCACACCAUGGGAGUUGGCAACACCCGAAGCCGAUGAGCUAACCCGCAAGGGAGGCAGUUGUCUAAGGUGGGGUUGAUAACUGGGGUGAAGUCGUAACAAGGUACC
Molecule: ribosomal RNA, 261 nt
Filed under: uncultured bacterium
Lineage: Bacteria
Description: partial 16S ribosomal RNA
Rfam family: Bacterial small subunit ribosomal RNA
Source: RNAcentral